This 492-nucleotide ribosomal RNA is filed under the name uncultured bacterium. Its description in RNAcentral is "partial 16S ribosomal RNA". It matches the Rfam family "Bacterial small subunit ribosomal RNA", at positions 29 to 507 of the family's 1533-position model. The record is from RNAcentral.
AGUGAACGCUGGCGGUAGGCCUAACACAUGCAAGUCGAACGGCAGCACAGUAAGAGCUUGCUCUUACGGGUGGCGAGUGGCGGACGGGUGAGGAAUACAUCGGAAUCUACUUUUUCGUGGGGGAUAACGUAGGGAAACUUACGCUAAUACCGCAUACGACCUACGGGUGAAAGCAGGGGAUCUUCGGACCUUGCGCGUUUGUAUGAGCCGAUGUCGGAUUAGCUAGUUGGCGGGGUAAAGGCCCACUAAGGUGACGAUCCGUAGCUGGUCUGAGAGGAUGAUCAGCCAAACGGGAACUGAGACACGGUCCAGACUCCUACGGGAGGCAGCAGUGGGGAAUAUUGGACAAUGGGCGCAAGCCUGAUCCAGCAAUACCGCGUGGGUGAAGAAGGCCUUCGGGUUGUAAAGCCCUUUUGUUGGGAAAGAAAAGCAGCAGGUUAAUACCCCGCUGUUCUGACGGUACCCAAAGAAUAAGCACCGGCUAACUUCGUG